UACGGAGGGUGCAAGCGUUAAUCGGAAUUACUGGGCGUAAGGUGCGCGUAGGCGGCUGAGUAAGUCUGAUGUGAAAGCCCCGGGCUCAACCUGGGAACUGCAUUCGAUACUGCUUGGCUAGAGUACAGUAGAGGAGAGUGGAAUUUCCGGUAUAGCGGUGAAAUGCGUAGAUAUCGGAAGGAACACCAGUGGCGAAGGCGACUCUCUGGACUGAUACUGACGCUGAUAGCGCGAAAGCGUGGGGAGCAAACAGG
RNAcentral lists this unclassified non-coding RNA (254 nucleotides) under uncultured Gammaproteobacteria bacterium. Its description in RNAcentral is "contains 16S-23S intergenic spacer region". It matches the Rfam family "Bacterial small subunit ribosomal RNA", at positions 524 to 776 of the family's 1533-position model. The record is from RNAcentral. Lineage: Bacteria; Pseudomonadati; Pseudomonadota; Gammaproteobacteria.